ACCUAUAUUCGGCCUGCCGGCUCGUCCGGCUAUGGCGAUAAACUGCCGAUGCAAUAAGCCGUUCGGACCCGGGGGCGGUACCCGGCGCCUCCACCAAAAACCGCCGCAGCCUUCAUGGGCGGCUUUUGAUGGGGGCGAAACAGGAUCGACGAAGGUGUAAAGAUCGGACUUUCGCACGGCAUUGUACCACCGUUAUCGGGCUAAACUUAUAGUUGCCAACGACAACUAUGCGGAAGCUCGUCUCGCUGCUUAAUGCAGCGCGAACGCUUCAAAUCAAGCCUUAGGCCGUCGCAGGUCUAAGCGGGGUCCGGAGGCACCUGGCAACAGAAGCCUCCACU
RNAcentral lists this transfer-messenger RNA (338 nucleotides) under Hyphomicrobiales bacterium. RNAcentral's name for it is "Rhizobiales bacterium (bioreactor metagenome) transfer-messenger RNA". It matches the Rfam family "Alphaproteobacteria transfer-messenger RNA". Rfam says of the family: Bacterial tmRNA, also known as 10Sa RNA or SsrA, is named for its dual tRNA and mRNA-like properties. Its role is to liberate the mRNA from a stalled ribosome. To accomplish this part of the tmRNA is used as a reading frame that ends in a translation stop signal. The record is from RNAcentral. Lineage: Bacteria; Pseudomonadati; Pseudomonadota; Alphaproteobacteria; Hyphomicrobiales.